RNAcentral lists this ribosomal RNA (427 nucleotides) under Ralstonia sp. Its description in RNAcentral is "bacterial SSU rRNA". It matches the Rfam family "Bacterial small subunit ribosomal RNA", at positions 334 to 751 of the family's 1533-position model. The record is from RNAcentral. Lineage: Bacteria; Pseudomonadati; Pseudomonadota; Betaproteobacteria; Burkholderiales; Burkholderiaceae.
UACUCCUACGGGGGAGGCAGCAGUGGGGAAUUUUGGACAAUGGGCGAAAGCCUGAUCCAGCAAUGCCGCGUGUGUGAAGAAGGCCUUCGGGUUGUAAAGCACUUUUGUCCGGAAAGAAAUGGCUCUGGUUAAUACCUGGGGUCGAUGACGGUACCGGAAGAAUAAGGACCGGCUAACUACGUGCCAGCAGCCGCGGUAAUACGUAGGGUCCAAGCGUUAAUCGGAAUUACUGGGCGUAAAGCGUGCGCAGGCGGUUGUGCAAGACCGAUGUGAAAUCCCCGAGCUUAACUUGGGAAUUGCAUUGGUGACUGCACGGCUAGAGUGUGUCAGAGGGGGGUAGAAUUCCACGUGUAGCAGUGAAAUGCGUAGAGAUGUGGAGGAAUACCGAUGGCGAAGGCAGCCCCCUGGGAUAACACUGACGCUCAUC